This 497-nucleotide ribosomal RNA is filed under the name uncultured bacterium. Its description in RNAcentral is "partial 16S ribosomal RNA". It matches the Rfam family "Bacterial small subunit ribosomal RNA", at positions 28 to 507 of the family's 1533-position model. The record is from RNAcentral.
GAUGAACGCUGGCGGCGUGCCUAAUACAUGCAAGUCGAGCGAACAGACGAGGAGCUUGCUCCUCUGACGUUAGCGGCGGACGGGUGAGUAACACGUGGAUAACCUACCUAUAAGACUGGGAUAACUUCGGGAAACCGGAGCUAAUACCGGAUAAUAUAUUCAACCUCAUGGUUCAAUAGUGAAAGACGGUUUUGCUGUCACUUAUAGAUGGAUCCGCGCCGCAUUAGCUAGUUGGUAAGGUAACGGCUUACCAAGGCAACAAUGCGUAGCCGACCUGAGAGGGUGAUCGCCCACCCUGGAACUGAGACACGGUCCAGACUCCUACGAGAGGCAGCAGUAGGGAAUCUUCCGCAAUGGGCGAAAGCCUAACGGAGCAAUGCCGCGUGGGUUAUGAAGGUCUUCGUAUCGUAAAACUCUGUUAUUAGGGAAGAACAAAUGUGUAAGUAACUAUGCUCGUCUUGACGGUACCUGAUCAGAAAGCCACGGCUAACUACGUG